Molecule: ribosomal RNA, 328 nt
Filed under: uncultured Bacteroidota bacterium
Lineage: Bacteria; Pseudomonadati; Bacteroidota
Description: bacterial SSU rRNA
Rfam family: Bacterial small subunit ribosomal RNA
Source: RNAcentral
GAUGAACGCUAGCGGGAGGCUUAACACAUGCAAGUCGAGGGGCAGCACGAGGUAGCAAUACUUUGGUGGCGACCGGCAGACGGGUGAGUAACGCGUAUGUAACCUACCCUGUACAGGGGGAUAACCCGGAGAAAUUCGGACUAAUAUCCCAUGGAAAUAUUGAGAGGCAUCUUGAGAUAUUUAAAGUUUCGACGGUACGGGAUGGGCAUGCGUAACAUUAGCUAGUUGGUAGGGUAACGGCCUACCAAGGCAACGAUGUUUAGGGGUCCUGAGAGGGUGAUCCCCCACACUGGUACUGAGACACGGACCAGACUCCUACGGGAGGCAG